AAUCAGAGCGCAACUAAAAGUUUAUAAACUUAUACAAAUACAAAACCUUAUUACAACAGAUAAGAACAAAGUACAAUCUACGUAAUCUCAGUAUACAACACUGAACUAAACUGCAUAAACUUGUAGGGGUUCGUCUAUUUAAUAUCGAGAAGGCUCUAGCUAGCCGUUGACCCCUCGCUAGGAACCCUAGUCUUUCUCGCUGUGGAAGGCUCUGCAUAAAAACAACCAAC
This 230-nucleotide long non-coding RNA is filed under the name Ananas comosus (pineapple). RNAcentral describes it as "long non-coding RNA (ACOM_LNC026100)". The record is from RNAcentral. Lineage: Eukaryota; Viridiplantae; Streptophyta; Magnoliopsida; Poales; Bromeliaceae.